CUUUGAUGGAUAUGAGUUAUCUGCAUUCAGAGAACAAAGCCAUGCUUUCCUAUGUUUGUCACUUCAUAAUGUUUACCGCCAUAUUUUGAAGAGAUAGAAGCAUUUCCAGCCGUGCUUUCAACAUUUUACAGCCUGUGGAGGAUUUUCCCUGUUACAUACAGAGCUAACGCACCACCCACCAUCUCU
Gorilla gorilla gorilla (western lowland gorilla) is the source of this 186-nucleotide long non-coding RNA. RefSeq lists it as uncharacterized. Lineage: Eukaryota; Metazoa; Chordata; Mammalia; Primates; Hominidae. The transcript is spliced from 3 exons. The record is from RefSeq and is a predicted model, not a curated record.